CCCUCCUCUUCGAAACAGACUCCAGCUAAACCCGCACGCCUCUCCACCCCAGGCUCGAGCUCGACGCCCACGACGCCGUCCACCUCUGGUAAGGUGAAGUCCCGGUCGCGAAGCAAGUCGCCUUUCCGCAGUUUCCGUUGGCGAACCGCGAAGAAAUUGCUGACUGGAGCCCAC
This is a long non-coding RNA of Melitaea cinxia (Glanville fritillary), 174 nucleotides long. RefSeq lists it as uncharacterized. The transcript has 2 exons. The record is from RefSeq and is a predicted model, not a curated record. NCBI's taxonomy places the organism in Eukaryota, Metazoa, Arthropoda, Insecta, Lepidoptera, Nymphalidae.